UGAUGGGCGACUGCGGGAGGUAUUAAAGAAAUUUAAUUGAUUUGUUGAGUGGAGAGAGAAUGUGUGGGGAGGACAGUGUAGAAUAGGAGGUCUAAAAUAUUUUUGUGGUGUGAAUGGUAUUAUCUGGUGGGGUUAAGUGGGGGGUUGGUGGGUGUUGUGAGUGGGGGGAGGGAGCCGACAAGACCUGGGAGUGUGGGUGGAUCUCUCUAUUGCAAAGGAGGUGUUUUAUGACGGACUCGACACUUUUAAUUACUACACAAGUGGAGUUUACUUUACUACUAUUCUUUUGUUGCGUUGGGGGAACGCUGCUCUUUGCGGGGGGGGAGUUGCUGCGAGUGGAUGCAAACAGAAACAAAUAUUUUUUUAAAAUAAUUGAGUGAACGCAAGAUUUGUUUUAGUAGAAAAGAAGUUGAAAACUUUCAACAAUGGAUCUGUUGGUUGGGGGAGGGAUGAAGAAGGCAGCGAAAUGGGAUAGGUAAUGUGAAUUGGAGAAUUGCGUGAAUCAGCGAAGCUUUGAACGCAGAUUGCGGCCUCUGGUAUUGGCGGGGGGGAUGGCUGUUUGAGCGUGAUUUGGCUUGCUGCAAACACGUUGUGUUUGGUAGUGAGUGAUACUGCUGCGUUUUUGAGUUAAGCUUGAAAUUGUAGGGCAUAUGCAGUAUGUGGGACACGAGCGCAAGCUUGCUGCUAUUAAUGCUGGUGCGCGUUUGCGCGAGGGGGCGGGGGUUAAUAGCUGUAUUAGUUUUAGCAACUCGGUGUUGAUGCUAGGGAGGGAUAAGUGAGUGUUUUGUGCGUGUGGAGACGACGUCUUUAAGUUUGAGCUGCAAUGCAGUAGGUUAGCGCGCUGAACUAAGCUAUGCAUAAGGGGAAGGAA
RNAcentral lists this ribosomal RNA (871 nucleotides) under Nakaseomyces glabratus. Its description in RNAcentral is "eukaryotic LSU rRNA". The stretch from base 415 to 569 matches the Rfam family "5.8S ribosomal RNA". Lineage: Eukaryota; Fungi; Ascomycota; Saccharomycetes; Saccharomycetales; Saccharomycetaceae. The record is from RNAcentral.